This 39-nucleotide non-coding RNA is filed under the name Drosophila melanogaster (fruit fly). Lineage: Eukaryota; Metazoa; Arthropoda; Insecta; Diptera; Drosophilidae. The record is from RNAcentral.
GUCUAAGCCAUGAUGAAGUGACAUAGGGUGGUCCCGUCG